CGGUAACAGCUCAAAUUUGAAAGCUGCCAACAGGCCGCAUUGUAAUUUGUAGAAGAUGCUUUGGGUGUUGACCUAGUCUAAGUUCCUUGGAACAGGACGUCAUAGAGGGUGAGAAUCCCGUAUGUGAUUAGUGUCAGCCCCCGUGUAAAGCUCUUUCGAC
Molecule: ribosomal RNA, 160 nt
Filed under: Mollisia cinerea
Lineage: Eukaryota; Fungi; Ascomycota; Leotiomycetes; Helotiales; Mollisiaceae
Description: partial large subunit ribosomal RNA
Rfam family: Eukaryotic large subunit ribosomal RNA
Source: RNAcentral